AUCUCAUUCACUUUAUUGUCUGUAUUCAAACAUUGUACAGCAGGCUGAGUUUGUUACCCUGGAAACAUGGAUACAGCUUUUGAAGUCAAUGCACUCAUUAAAGAUGAACCAUCACCCAUCUUGUUGUACACUGCAGUUUUUCUAAUGACACACACUUUUGCUUUUAGCUACUUUUAG
Molecule: long non-coding RNA, 177 nt
Organism: Thalassophryne amazonica
Lineage: Eukaryota; Metazoa; Chordata; Actinopteri; Batrachoidiformes; Batrachoididae
Exons: 3
Source: RefSeq, a predicted model, not a curated record